Molecule: transfer RNA, 74 nt
Filed under: Ipomoea nil (Japanese morning glory)
Lineage: Eukaryota; Viridiplantae; Streptophyta; Magnoliopsida; Solanales; Convolvulaceae
Rfam family: tRNA
About the family: Transfer RNA (tRNA) molecules are approximately 80 nucleotides in length. Their secondary structure includes four short double-helical elements and three loops (D, anti-codon, and T loops).
Source: Rfam by way of RNAcentral
GGUCCUGUAGCUCAGUUGGUUGGAGCGUUAGUUUUAUGAGCCGAAGGUUGUGAAUUCGAGCCUCGCUGGGACCA